RNAcentral lists this ribosomal RNA (329 nucleotides) under uncultured eukaryote. RNAcentral describes it as "partial 18S ribosomal RNA". It matches the Rfam family "Eukaryotic small subunit ribosomal RNA", at positions 1470 to 1796 of the family's 1831-position model. The record is from RNAcentral.
CCCUUAGAUGUUCUGGGCCGCACGCGCGCUACACUGACGAUGGCAACGAGUUUUUCCUUCGCCGAAAGGUGUGGGUAAUCUUUUGAAACAUCGUCGUGCUGGGGAUAGAUAAUUGCAAUUUUUGAUCUUGAACGAGGAAUUCCUAGUAAGCGCGAGUCAUCAGCUCGCGUUGAUUACGUCCCUGCCCUUUGUACACACCGCCCGUCGCUACUACCGAUUGAAUGGUUUAGUGAGGACUCCUGAUUGGCGCCGCCGCCCCGGCAACGGAGCAGCGGACUGCCGAAAAGUUGUUCAAACUUGAUCAUUUAGAGGAAGUAAAAGUCGUAACA